RNAcentral lists this long non-coding RNA (857 nucleotides) under Salmo salar (Atlantic salmon). RNAcentral's name for it is "lncRNA (ENSSSAG00000112743.1)". Lineage: Eukaryota; Metazoa; Chordata; Actinopteri; Salmoniformes; Salmonidae. The record is from RNAcentral.
GGGGCCAGUUUAGGAGAUGAGGGGUCAGUUUAGGAGAUGAGGGGUCAGUUUAGGAGAUGAGGGGCCAGUUUAGGAGAUGAGGGGCCAGUUUAGGAGACGAGGGGCCAGUUUAGGAGACGAGGGGUCAGUUUAGGAGACGAGGGGUCCGUUUAGGAGACGAGGGGCCAGUUUAGGAGACGAGGGGCCAGUUUAGGAGACGAGGGGCCAGCUUAGGAGACGAGGGGCCAGUUUAGGAGACGAGGGGCCAGUUUAGGAGACGAGGGGCCAGUUUAGGAGACGAGGGGCCAGUUUAGGAGAUGAGGGGCCAGUUUAGGAGAUGAGGGGCCAGUUUAGGAGAUGAGGGGCGCAGUUUAGGAGAUGAGGGGCCAGUUUAGGAGAUGAGGGGUCAGUUUAGGAGAUGAGGGGCCAGUUUAGGAGAUGAGGGGCCAGUUUAGGAGAUGAGGGGCCAGUUUAGGAGAUGAGGGGCCAGUUUAGGAGAUGAGGGGCCAGUUUAGGAGAUGAGGGGUCAGUUUAGGAGAUGAGGGGUCAGUUUAGGAGAUGAGGGGCCAGUUUAGGAGAUGAGGGGAGAUGAGGGGCCAGUUUAGGAGAUUAGGGGCCAGUUUAAGGAGAUGAGGGGCCAGUUUAGGAGAUGAGGGGGUCAGUUUAGGAGGUCAGGAGGAAUCAAAGAUGGGGUCUCUCUCUCUCUCUCUCUCUCACCUUCUUCCCAUCGUCCGUCUUGGUGAUAACAGGGUUCUCUUCAUUCUCUCUCGCUCCGCCCACUGACGACUCCGUCACAACAUCCCUGCAGGACAGGAAGCGGUUAACGUCAACAGGAAGUGUGAGUUUAGGCGUGUGUCUAUAUUAAAGGUGUGUGUUUA